Molecule: ribosomal RNA, 491 nt
Filed under: uncultured bacterium
Lineage: Bacteria
Description: partial 16S ribosomal RNA
Rfam family: Bacterial small subunit ribosomal RNA
Source: RNAcentral
AGUGAACGCUGGCGGUAGGCCUAACACAUGCAAGUCGAACGGCAGCACAGUAAGAGCUUGCUCUUACGGGUGGCGAGUGGCGGACGGGUGAGGAAUACAUCGGAAUCUACUUUUUCGUGGGGGAUAACGUAGGGAAACUUACGCUAAUACCGCAUACGACCUACGGGUGAAAGCAGGGGAUCUUCGGACCUUGCGCGAUUGAAUGAGCCGAUGUCGGAUUAGCUAGUUGGCGGGGUAAAGGCCCACCAAGGCGACGAUCCGUAGCUGGUCUGAGAGGAUGAUCAGCACAACGGGAACUGAGACACGGCCCAAACUCCUAGGGGAGGCAGCAGUGGGGAAUUUUGGAAAAGGGGGGAAAGCCUGAACCAGCCAUCCCGGGGGGGGGAAGAAGGCCUUGGGGUUGUAAAGCCCUUUUGUUGGGAAAGAAAAGAAGCAGGUUAAUACCCCGCUGUUCUGACGGUACCCAAAGAAAAAGCACCGGCUAACUUGGU